CAAGUCGAACGCGAAAGUCCCCUUCGGGGGAUUAGUAGAGUGGCGUCCGGGUGAGUAACACGUAGGUAAUCUACCUUCGGGUGGGGAAUAACGCAGGGAAACUUGCGCUAAUACCGCAUAAUGCAGCGGCACCACAUGGUGACAGUUGUUAAAGCGGGGGAUUUUAGGACCUCGCGCCUGAAGAGGAGCCUGCGGCAGAUUAGCUAGUUGGUAGGGUAACGGCUUACCAAGGCAACGAUCUGUAGCCGGCCUGAGAGGGCGGUCGGCCACACUGACACUGACAUACGGGUCAGACUCCUACGGGAGGCAGCAGUCGGGAAUUUUGGGCAAUGGGCGAAAGCCUGACCCAGCAACGCCGCGUGAAGGAUGAAAUCCCUCGGGAUGUAAACUUCGCAAGAAUGGGAAGAAUUAGUAGGGGUUAAUACCCUCUAUGAUGACGGUACCAUUUGUAAGCUCCGGCUAACUCCGUGCCAGCAGCCGCGGUAAUACGGGGGGAGCAAGCGUUGUUCGGAUUUACUGGGCGUAAAGGGCGCGUAGGCGGUCAGCACAAGUCAGUUGUGAAAUCUCCGGGCUUAACUCGGAAAGGUCAACUGAUACUGUGCGACUAGAGUGCGGAAGGGGCAACUGGAAUUCUCGGUGUAGCGGUGAAAUGCGUAGAUAUCGAGAGGAACACCUGCGGCGAAGGCGGGUUGCUGGGCCGACACUGACGCUGAUGCGCGAAAGCCAGGGGAGCGAACGGGAUUAGAUACCCCGGUAGUCCUGGCCUUAAACGAUGGAUGCUUGGUGUCUGGAGUUUUAUAGUCUCCGGGUGCCGUAGCUAACGCGUUAAGCAUCCCGCCUGGGGAGUACGGUCGCAAGACUGAAACUCAAAGGAAUUGAC
RNAcentral lists this ribosomal RNA (880 nucleotides) under uncultured Bacillota bacterium. RNAcentral describes it as "bacterial SSU rRNA". It matches the Rfam family "Bacterial small subunit ribosomal RNA", at positions 58 to 914 of the family's 1533-position model. Lineage: Bacteria; Bacillati; Bacillota. The record is from RNAcentral.